This 699-nucleotide long non-coding RNA is filed under the name Equus asinus (donkey). RNAcentral's name for it is "lncRNA (ENSEASG00005037320.1)". The record is from RNAcentral. Lineage: Eukaryota; Metazoa; Chordata; Mammalia; Perissodactyla; Equidae.
UUUUGUACAGCCAAACAUUUACAUCAGAGCCUCGGAAUGUGGCAGUUUUGUAUAUACAUGAAGUGCGCUCAUCGAGAAUGUCAGCUGUGCAGCUCUCCAUAGAAGCCGGCCAGACAGGACAGGCUCGGGAGGGAACCAGCCCGUUCUACAUCUGGUCUUCCAGUGCAUACUGGCCUGACAGAACCUCUGCCCUUCAUGAAGUCACAUUUCUUCGGCAUUUUCUAACAGUGAAAUCACUUCAAGAACAAUGGCUCCUAACACAGGUAUCAGCCUUGUUACAGGAGUUUGUACUGAAGUGCUGCAAAUCUAGUAAUAAACUUGGGCCUCUUCCCUCUUCUGGGAGGGAUAAGCCAGAUAAACUAUAAUUAAAAGAAUGUAUCACCAGCAGAUCUGCAUGACAAGAAUUACUAAAAGAAGUUCUUCAGGCUCAAGGGAAAUGACACCAGAUGGGAAUUCAGAUGCCACGUCAUGAAGACAGUCAAGCUGCUUAUGGAGGGGUCCACAUGGUAAGAGACGGAGGUGUCUCGUCAACAGCCAGUAUCAAUGUGCUGCAACGUGAGUGAGAUCUUGGAAGCAACCCCCCCAGCCCGAGUCCAGCCUUCAGAUGACUGUAGUCCUGGACAAUGUGUUGACUGUAAUCUCAUAAGAAACCACAGCCCAGGAUCACCCAGCUCAGCCAAUUCUGAUUCCUGACUCACA